GAAACUGCGAAUGGCUCAUUAAAACAGUUAUAGUUUAUUCGAUUAUUUUCUUCUACAUGGAUAACCGUAGUAAUUCUAGAGCUAAUACAUGCUGUCAAACCUGACUUUUCGGAAGGGUUGUAUUUAUUAGAUAUUAAACUAACCCUGGCAACAGGAUAGUGAUGAUUCAUAAUAACUGAGCGGAUCGCGGCCUCGCCGCGACGAAUCGUUCAAGUUUCUGCCCUAUCAGCUUUCGAUGGUAGUGUAUUGGACUACCAUGGCGAUCACGGGUAACGGGGAAUUAGGGUUCGAUUCCGGAGAGGGAGCCUGAGAAAUGGCUACCACAUCUAAGGAAGGCAGCAGGCGCGUAAAUUACCCAAUCCUAAUUCAGGGAGGUAGUGACAAGAAAUAACAACUCGGGCCCCACUUGGGGUUACGGGAUUGCAAUGAGAACAAUUUAAACCACUUAUCGAGUAACAAUUGGAGGGCAAGUCUGGUGCCAGCAGCCGCGGUUAUUCCAGCUCCAAUAGCGUAUAUUAAAGUUGUUGCAGUUAAAAAGCUCCUAAUUGAAUUUCUGGCCCGCGCUGUUCACGGCUCUCGCAGUCGGUUCACGAGCCUGGUCAUUUCUAUGGAAGCUAACAGUUCUUCAGUGGUCGGCUAGUGGAUCCUAACCUUUACUUG
This 660-nucleotide ribosomal RNA is filed under the name uncultured eukaryote. RNAcentral's name for it is "SSU rRNA". It matches the Rfam family "Eukaryotic small subunit ribosomal RNA", at positions 83 to 758 of the family's 1831-position model. The record is from RNAcentral.